GAUGAACGCUGGCGGCGUGCCUAAUACAUGCAAGUCGAGCGAACAGACGAGGAGCUUGCUCCUCUGACGUUAGCGGCGGACGGGUGAGUAACACGUGGAUAACCUACCUAUAAGACUGGGAUAACUUCGGGAAACCGGAGCUAAUACCGGAUAAUAUAUUGAACCGCAUGGUUCAAUAGUGAAAGACGGUUUUGCUGUCACUUAUAGAUGGAUCCGCGCCGCAUUAGCUAGUUGGUAAGGUAACGGCUUACCAAGGCAACGAUGCGUAGCCGACCUGAGAGGGUGAUCGGCCACACUGGAACUGAGACACGGUCCAGACUCCUACGGGAGGCAGCAGUAGGGAAUCUUCCGCAAUGGGCGAAAGCUUGGCGGAGCAACGCCGCGUGAGUGAUGAAGGUGUUCGGAUCGUAAAACUCUGUUAUUAGGGAAGAACAAAUGUGUAAGUAACUAUGCACGUCUUGACGGUACCUAAUCAGAAAGCCACGGCUAACUACGUG
RNAcentral lists this ribosomal RNA (497 nucleotides) under uncultured bacterium. Its description in RNAcentral is "partial 16S ribosomal RNA". It matches the Rfam family "Bacterial small subunit ribosomal RNA", at positions 28 to 507 of the family's 1533-position model. The record is from RNAcentral.